AUGGAAGACGGCGGGAGGAGCACGCAGUGGCGCUUCGCGGCCCCGAACCCGACCUUGGCGGCCGCCGGCGAGAGGAGCAUCCAGAAGGCCCUCCUCCAGGUGCACGCCUGCCUGGACGAGCGCGGCCCGCGGCCCGUGAUCGCGCUGAGCCACGGCGACCCCUCCUCCGCACCCUCCUUCCGCACCGCGCCCGAGGCGGAGGAGGCCCUCGUCGCGGCCGUGCGCUCCGGCGAGUACAACGGGUACCCCACCCCCGCCACCGGCCUCCCCGCUCGCAGAGCUGUUGCCGAGUAUCUAUCCCGUGAUCUUCCUUACAUGAUUUCCCAUGAUGAUAUUUUCCUCACUUGUGGAGGUAGCCAAGCAAUCGAGACUGUGAUGUCUGUUUUUGGCCAAGCAGGCGUCAACAUAUUGCUGCCAAUGCCUGGCUACCCAAAACACGAAGCACAUGCAGUGUUUCAUAGGAUGGAAGUACGGCAUUAUGGUCUUCUCCCGGAGAGAGGAUGGGAGGUUGAUUUGGAAGCUGUUGAAGCUCUCGCAGAUGGGAAUACUGUUGCAGUUGUGAUUACCAACCCCAACAACCCAUGUGGUAGUGUGUAUACCUACGAGCAUUUGGCCAAGAUUGCAGAUAUGGCAAGCAAGCUCGGUAUUUUAGUCAUCGCUGAUGAAGUAUAUGGUCACCUUGUCUAUGGCACCACACCUUUUGUGCCAAUGGGUGUUUUUGGAGAGACUGUUCCGGUAAUCACUUUGGGAGCUAUAUCGAAGAGAUGGGCUGUACCUGGCUGGAGGAUUGGUUGGAUAGCAACUUGUGACCCUAAAGGCAUUCUGAGAAAAACUAAGGUUGCUGAUUCACUCAGAAGCUUCAUAAGUAUAAUAUCAGGUCCUGCAACAUUUCUUCAGGGAGCUAUUCCUCAUAUUAUCAAGAACACAAAUGAUGAAUUCUAUAACAACAUUGUCAAGCUGUUGAAGGAGACUGCAGAGAUAUGUUAUGAUGCAAUAGACGAGAUCAAGUGUAUUACCUGUCCCCACAAACCAGAGGGCUCAUUUUUUAUGAUGGUAAAACUGGACGUGUCACAAUUGUCGGACAUUCGUGACGACGUAGACUUCUGCAGCAAGUUGGCGAAGGAGGAGUCGGUUAUACUGUUGCCUGGGAAAUCCUUGGGCAUGGAGAACUGGUUGCGUAUCACCUUUGCUUCGGAGCCACCUACACUGAAGCAAGGGCUCGACAGGGUGAAGUCUUUCUGCAGGAGGCAUCAGUCACAGGCCAAUUAG
This 1269-nucleotide ribosomal RNA is filed under the name Triticum aestivum (bread wheat). RNAcentral describes it as "partial small subunit ribosomal RNA". Lineage: Eukaryota; Viridiplantae; Streptophyta; Magnoliopsida; Poales; Poaceae. The record is from RNAcentral.